Long non-coding RNA from Peromyscus eremicus (cactus mouse), 583 nucleotides. RefSeq lists it as uncharacterized. NCBI's taxonomy places the organism in Eukaryota, Metazoa, Chordata, Mammalia, Rodentia, Cricetidae. The record is from RefSeq and is a predicted model, not a curated record. The transcript is spliced from 3 exons.
CUUGACACCCGCUAUCCCAAGACCAAGAGGCCUGGUUCCUCCCUGGGAAGCCAGCCUGACUGCCUACCUGUCACACCUGUAUGACCUGAGGAGACAGUUUCUUCCAAUGACCUGUCACAGCAGAAGGCGUGACAGACAACAGCAGAGACCAGAGGCCUUAAACCACACCAAACAAUGCUGCCUAAUGCUUACUUUAGAAAAUGUCAUUCAUUUCCACACUCAGUGUCUGGGCGUCCAUAUGAUGAACAGGAUGAGCGGGUGGGGACCAGUGCCUGGGCUCCCUGAAGCAUCAUUGAAAACCCUCAUCUCUGGGGCUCAGGAAAGACCCCUCUUGCCCAGUGAAGACCCAGCAGAGGCCACACACAGCUAGAUCAACAGCCCGGGUGUGUGUUUAACAUUAUCAUUUAUAAAGCCAUACAAUGGAUUGUAAGAGACAGGCAGCUGUACAGAGGGAAACAGCAUAUGUGUACAUACAUUCGUAUCCAGAACACGUAGCAUACAACAGGGUUUAUACAAGGUGGCGGAAGCUAUAGGCACAAUGAUACAAAAUAUAAAGUAUAUUUCCAUCUAUAAAUACACAGCA